RNAcentral lists this unclassified non-coding RNA (395 nucleotides) under soil metagenome. RNAcentral describes it as "partial contains 5.8S ribosomal RNA, internal transcribed spacer 2, and large subunit ribosomal RNA". The stretch from base 1 to 122 matches the Rfam family "5.8S ribosomal RNA", at positions 35 to 154 of the family's 154-position model. The record is from RNAcentral.
GAUGAAGAACGCAGCAAAAUGCGAUACUUGGUGUGAAUUGCAGAAUCCCGUGAACCAUCGAGUCUUUGAACGCAAGUUGCGCCCGAAGCCAUUAGGCCGAGGGCACGUCUGCCUGGGCGUCACACAACGUUGUCCCCCCAAACCACGACUUCCAAGAGGACGGGGGGCAGAUGCUGGCCUCCCGUGCGCCACGGCUCGCGGUUGGCCCAAAUGCGAGUACUCGGCGACGAGCGCCGCGGCAAUCGGUGGUUGUCCAACCCUCGGUGCCAUGCUGCGCGCGCUAGCCGCUCACUGUUACUCGACGACCCCAAUGCGUCGUAUCCACGACGCUCACAACACGACCCCAGGUCAGGCGGGGCUACCCGCUGAGUUUAAGCAUAUCAAUAAGCGGAGGA